RNAcentral lists this ribosomal RNA (492 nucleotides) under uncultured bacterium. RNAcentral's name for it is "partial 16S ribosomal RNA". It matches the Rfam family "Bacterial small subunit ribosomal RNA", at positions 355 to 832 of the family's 1533-position model. The record is from RNAcentral.
UGGGGAAUUUUGGACAAUGGGCGAAAGCCUGAUCCAGCAAUGCCGCGUGUGUGAAGAAGGCCUUCGGGUUGUAAAGCACUUUUGUCCGGAAAGAAAUCCUUGGACUCUAAUACAGUCGGGGGAUGACCGGUACCGGAAGAAUAAGCACCGGCUAACUACGUGGCCAGCAGCCGCGGUAAUACGUAGGGGUGCAAGCGUUAAUCGGAAUUACUGGGCGUAAAGCGUGCGCAGGCGGUUUGCUAAGACCGAUGUGAAAUCCCCGGGCUCAACCUGGGAACUGCAUUGGUGACUGGCAGGGCUAGAGUAUGGCAGAGGGGGGUAGAAUUCCACGUGUAGCAGUGAAAUGCGUAGAGAUGUGGAGGAAUACCGAUGGCGAAGGCAGCCCCCUGGGCCAAUACUGACGCUCAUGCACGAAAGCGUGGGGGAGCAAACAGGAUUCAGAUACCCUGGUAGUCCACGCCCUAAACGAUGUCAACUAGUUGUUGGGGAUUC